Non-coding RNA from Heterocephalus glaber (naked mole-rat), 437 nucleotides. Lineage: Eukaryota; Metazoa; Chordata; Mammalia; Rodentia; Bathyergidae. The record is from RefSeq and is a predicted model, not a curated record.
AGCUUGAGGGCGCAGAUUCAAAAUGCCUGCCAGAGCAUGCGCAGCUGUGUCGGAAGCAGCCAGCAGGAGCCAUUACCGCCUCCUAGACGCCUGAGUUGCAGAUUCUCUACCUCUUCCUUUUCUAAGUGUAUGAUGCGUCUGAUUGAUUACUGCUAACCCAAGUCAAAGGUACUUAUUGAAAAGCAGUCAUUGAUAAUCCAGAGACUUCAGAAGUAACAACUAUGCAUGGAAUUUCCUAGAUUCUGAUCUACAUACAUUGAUCGGCCAGACAGAUCGCAAAGUCCCCGAAGACCACCAAGGAGCCAAUUCCGAUGCAAACACAAGAGGGUCAUUUAUUCAAGCUCGAGCAGGGCCUCACAACCGUCACCGAUGCAGUGGAUCAGAAUUGAGAGCCCCAACUCUAAAACACCAGGGAUUUUUAUAGAGAUUACAGCAAG